Elaeis guineensis (African oil palm) is the source of this 106-nucleotide small nucleolar RNA. NCBI's taxonomy places the organism in Eukaryota, Viridiplantae, Streptophyta, Magnoliopsida, Arecales, Arecaceae. The record is from RefSeq and is a predicted model, not a curated record.
AUGGCAUGGUGAGGAUAUUUUCGAAUGAGGUCUUUGAGCCUCUCCCAUGUCUCAUCGAACAUCUCCCCUUCCAUCUGAAAAAAAUUGAUUAUGAAUUUUUUAAUUU